GGGCGCAGCUGAUCAUCCAUGCCGCGUGUGUGAAGAAGCCUUAUGGUUGUAAAGGCACUAAACGAGAGACGCUACUUAGAUAAUACCUAGAAUAGUGGACGUACUCGCAGAACUAAAGCAGCCGGCUAACUCUGUGCCAGCAGCCGCGGUAAUACAGAGGGUGCAAGCGUUAAUCGGAUUUACUGGGCGUAAAGCGCGCGUAGGCGGCUAAUUAAGUCAAAUGUGAAAUCCCCGAGCUUAACUUGGGAAUUGCAUUCGAUACUGGUUAGCUAGAGUGUGGGAGAGGAUGGUAGAAUUCCAGGUGUAGCGGUGAAAUGCGUAGAGAUCUGGAGGAAUACCGAUGGCGAAGGCAGCCAUCUGGCCUAACACUGACGCUGAGGUGCGAAAGCAUGGGGAGCAAACAGGAUUAGAUACCCUGGUAGUCCAUGCCGUAAACGAUGUCUACUAGCCGUUGGGGCCUUUGAGGCUUUAGCUGGCGCAGCUAACGCGAUAAGUAGACCGCCUGGGGAGUACGGUCGCAAGACUAACACUCAAAUGACUUGACGGGGGCCCGCAACAGCGGUGGAGCAUGUGGUUUAACU
Molecule: ribosomal RNA, 581 nt
Filed under: uncultured bacterium
Lineage: Bacteria
Description: bacterial SSU rRNA
Rfam family: Bacterial small subunit ribosomal RNA
Source: RNAcentral